GAUGAAGAACGUAGCGAAAUGCGAUAAGUAAUGCGAAUUGCAGAAUCCGUGAGUCAUCGAAUCUUUGAACGCAUAUUGCGCCCUUUGGCAUUCCGAAGGGCAUGCCUGUUCGUGCGUCAUUAUCACCCCUCAAGCCCCGGCUUGGUGUUGGGCCCCCGGUGGUCGUACCCGACCACCCGCCUCAAAGAUAGUGACGGCGUCCCAGAGGGAACCGGUACGAGGAGCUUUCACGAGCAUGUACGCGGGGACGACUCUGUGGGCGACGGUCUUUUUUAACCUUAAUAUAUCAAGUGUUGACCUCGGAUCAGGUAGGAAUACCCGCUGAACUUAAGCAUAUCAAUAAGCGGAGGA
Molecule: unclassified non-coding RNA, 351 nt
Filed under: soil metagenome
Description: partial contains 5.8S ribosomal RNA, internal transcribed spacer 2, and large subunit ribosomal RNA
Rfam family: 5.8S ribosomal RNA (bases 1-119)
Source: RNAcentral